AGCGAACGCUGGCGGCAUGCUUAACACAUGCAAGUCGCACGGUCAGCAAUGGCAGUGGCGGACGAGUGAGUAACGCGUAGGUAUCUAUCCUCGGGUGGGGGACAACCACGGGGAAACUGCGGCUAAUACCGCAUGAUGCCUGAGGGCCAAAGACGAAAGUCGUUUGAGGAGGAGCCUGCGUCUGAUUAGGUAGUUGGUGGGGUAAAGGCCUACCAAGCCCUGCGAUCAGUAGCUGGUCUGAGAGGAUGAUCAGCCACAUUGGGACUGAGACACGGCCCAAACUCCUACGGGAGGCAGCAGUGGGGAAUAUUGGACAAUGGGCGCAAGCCUGAUCCAGCAAUGCCGCGUGGGUGAAGAAGGUCUUCGGAUUGUAAAGCCCUUUUGGCGGGGACGAUGAUGACGGUACCCGCAGAAUAAGCUCCGGCUAACUUCGUG
This 435-nucleotide ribosomal RNA is filed under the name uncultured bacterium. RNAcentral's name for it is "bacterial SSU rRNA". It matches the Rfam family "Bacterial small subunit ribosomal RNA", at positions 29 to 507 of the family's 1533-position model. The record is from RNAcentral.